CCUACGGGAGGCAGCAGUGAGGAAUAUUGGUCAAUGGGCGCGCGCCUGAACCAGCCAAGUCGCGUGAGGGAAGACGGCCCUACGGGUUGUAAACCUCUUUUGCCGGGGAGCAACGGGCGCCCCGUGUGGCGCCCCUGAGAGUUCCCGGAGAAAAUGCAUCGACUAACUCCGUGCCAGCAGACGCGGUAAUUCGGAGGAGUCAAGCGUUAUCCGGCUUCAUUGGGUUUAAGGGGUGCGUAGGCGGGCGGAUAGGUUAGAGGUGAAAUCCCGAGGCUCAACUUCGGAAUUGCCUCUGAUACUGUUCGGCUAGAGAGUAGUUGCGGUAGGCGGAAUGUAUGGUGUAGCGGUGAAAUGCUUAGAGAUCAUACAGAACACCGAUUGCGAAGGCAGCUUACCAAGCUACUUCUGACGUUGAGGCACGAAAGCGUGGGGAGCAAACAGGAUUAGAUACCCGAGUAGUC
This 461-nucleotide ribosomal RNA is filed under the name uncultured bacterium. Its description in RNAcentral is "partial 16S ribosomal RNA". It matches the Rfam family "Bacterial small subunit ribosomal RNA", at positions 338 to 795 of the family's 1533-position model. The record is from RNAcentral.